GGAUGUGGCUCAAGUGUUAGGGCGCUCGCCUAGCAUGCAUGAGACACUGGGUUCAAUUCUCAGCACCA
Molecule: transfer RNA, 68 nt
Filed under: Marmota monax (woodchuck)
Lineage: Eukaryota; Metazoa; Chordata; Mammalia; Rodentia; Sciuridae
Description: tRNA.Ala
Source: RNAcentral